CAGGCCGCAAGGUGCUGACGAGUGGCGAACGGGUGAGUAAUGCAUCGGAACGUGCCCAGUAGUGGGGGAUAGCCCGGCGAAAGCCGGAUUAAUACCGCAUACGACCUACGGGUGAAAGCGGGGGACCGCAAGGCCUCGCGCUAUUGGAGCGGCCGAUGUCAGAUUAGGUAGUUGGUGGGGUAAAGGCCUACCAAGCCUGCGAUCUGUAGCUGGUCUGAGAGGACGACCAGCCACACUGGGACUGAGACACGGCCCAGACUCCUACGGGAGGCAGCAGUGGGGAAUUUUGGACAAUGGGCGCAAGCCUGAUCCAGCCAUGCCGCGUGCGGGAAGAAGGCCUUCGGGUUGUAAACCGCUUUUGUCAGGGAAGAAAUCUUCUGGGUUAAUACCUCGGGAGGAUGACGGUACCUGAAGAAUAAGCACCGGCUAACUACGUGCCAGCAGC
RNAcentral lists this ribosomal RNA (445 nucleotides) under Rubrivivax sp. JA784. Its description in RNAcentral is "bacterial SSU rRNA". It matches the Rfam family "Bacterial small subunit ribosomal RNA", at positions 58 to 515 of the family's 1533-position model. Lineage: Bacteria; Pseudomonadati; Pseudomonadota; Betaproteobacteria; Burkholderiales; Sphaerotilaceae. The record is from RNAcentral.